AUGAGUAUCAAGAUUGGCAUGACUCUGGCGCCUUUACCCCUCUAGUCAAUGAACCCUGCUGGUUGCUGCAGUGGAAAGUCAAUAUUUACUCUUAGCGAUCGUUUGCAUGCGUCUGCACUAAAAUUAACAAAAGCAGAACAAGGCCGUUGCCUUGUUCCAAUGUUAGUUUUGUUGUGCUGAUUAUUUUUUUUUAAAAAAAAAGUCAUAUUUAUUGACUGGGYUUUGCUCUGUCCUGCUCGGCUUUCAGACAAGUCACCUGGUAAGGCUCCUGGCCCCUCUGGUAGGCAGCAAAGCAAACAUUAGCCAGAGGGAAAGUGGCUCUUUCAGGCCUGGACAGAUGCUGAUCUGUCUGGAAGAGCUCCUUACGGUAGCUCUGGACUUGCAUGUGGCUUUGGUGAAUGCUGAUGUGGCUGCUGGCUCCCCAGGGUCUCCUCACACGUCCUGCAGGGAGGAGCUGGCUGAUGAUCUCCGAGGAGUCCUCAGAAACUCGGCAGCCAGGAAUCCUUCAUGCUGGAUUCAUCUGUCGUGUGUGAAAUGGGAUCACAUGUCAAGGAAGUGAAAGGGAGGAAAUAAGCAGAGCAGCGACGUUUCUGGGCUUUGGGGUGGCUUCCACGGACUCACAGAAGACAGCUUGGGCUGGGGUCUUCCUCUUUCUCUGCUUUGGGGCAACACUGACCGUGUCCACAGUUAAGACAUCAUGGCUGAAAGUAGCAGAGGGCCCGCCCCUUCCCCUAGAUGAAUCGUUUCUCUGCCAGAUAUCUGGGGGGUAAGGUUUGAGUUCAACUCCACAAGUCAUUGACUUGCCACAUGAGGGCUGAAUUUGGCUUUGGUUUGUUGUUUUGGAGCUCAAAGAUCUUGAAAAGGUUGGAUGCCAGGGUUGCCAGAGAAACGGAGCUCAAUCUUCUGAUCUGGUCAUUAUUCCUUACCCUGUCUUCCUCCUCAUUACCCAGCUUCAUCUUUGACUUCCUCGGAAACUUCCUCUUCCCCCAGAGCAUCCAUCAGAGCUGGACUACCACAGUGAGAGAGAUCCUGGCUAUGGCUGCAGCUCAGUCCUCCCAUCUCCGCUUUGUCCUCCAGCUGCUCAGAGGAGACCCGGUUCAGGCCAUAAGGAAAAGGUUAAUCUCCCCUGCACACGCUGGAGGGACAGGACCKCUUGCUGCUGGACCGCCGUGGUGGUACCCAGAGGCACCCUCCUGUACGCUGACCCUCGCUGCUGUGAUGCGUUUUGAGAGAUGCUACAAAUCUGCACUGCACAAAUGUCCUGCUGCUCUUGGAGUGAGUUUGUACCUGUGCGUUAAAGAAGGGGGGACGGUCCCUGCUGAGCUGCUACCUUGA
RNAcentral lists this long non-coding RNA (1335 nucleotides) under Dromaius novaehollandiae (emu). RNAcentral's name for it is "lncRNA (ENSDNVG00000000711.1)". Lineage: Eukaryota; Metazoa; Chordata; Aves; Casuariiformes; Dromaiidae. The record is from RNAcentral.